RNAcentral lists this non-coding RNA (30 nucleotides) under Mus musculus (house mouse). The record is from RNAcentral. Lineage: Eukaryota; Metazoa; Chordata; Mammalia; Rodentia; Muridae.
UAAUUGAGAAAAUGCCUUACAGCUGGGUCU